This 597-nucleotide long non-coding RNA is filed under the name Mytilus galloprovincialis (Mediterranean mussel). Lineage: Eukaryota; Metazoa; Mollusca; Bivalvia; Mytilida; Mytilidae. The record is from RNAcentral.
UUUUUUGUGACUCUAAUAAUGGUAAUAGUCAUGGUAAUAAACUAAGAACAUAUCGCAAAGUUAAAAAUAAUUUUGAAUUAGAAAAAUAUCUUCUACUGGACCUUAACAAAAGUGUUAUUUCUAAAAUGGUAAAAAUCAGAAUUAGUAAUAGUAAAUUACUAAUAGAAGUUGGUAGAUAUACUAGAACACCUUUAGAACAGAGAAUUUGUCCAAUUUGUAAGGAUGGAAUUGAAGAUGAGUUCCAUUUCCUCAUUCAAUGUAAAGCGUUAGAACUUAAUAGAAAUGUACUCUUUUGUAAUUUAAGUGAUAUAGUUCCAUCUUUUGUUAAUAUGAGUGAACAAGAUAAGUUUAGUUUCAUUUUGAAAAGUAAUGAUACGGACAUUAGUACUGUAAGUGUAGCUGGAAUAAGCGAUAUGUAUGAUUUGAACAUUCAUUUAAAGCAAACAUAAUGUUGUUAAGAGCUUUUAUAGUAUUAAAGCUGAUUGUAAUAGCUUGAAUUAAUAAUAUUGUAUGAAUAACACCUCCACGCAAUGUAAAUAUAAAAUAUGUAUCUCUUAUCAUGAUCAUUGAGAAAUAUGUUUGGUUUUUUUUUGUUUU